CCUACGGGGGGCAGCAGUGAGGAAUAUUGGUCAAUGGACGGAAGUCUGAACCAGCCAUGCCGCGUGCAGGUAGACGGCUCUAUGAGUUGUAAACUGCUUUUGUACAAGGGUAAACCUGAAUACGUGUAUUCAGCUGAAAGUACUGUACGAAUAAGGAUGGGCUAACUCGGUGCAAGCAGCCGCGGUAAUACGGAGGAUGCGAGCGUUAUCCGGAUUUAUUGGGUUAAAGGGGUGCGGAGGGUGAGUGUCAAGCAAGCGGGAAAAGAACGGGGCUCAACCGCGUCGAGCCGUUUGAACUGGCGCGCUUGAGUUCAGACGAGGUAGGCGGAAGUCGUGGUGUAGCGGUGAAAUGCAUAGAUAUCACAAAGAACUCCGAUUGCGAAGGCAGCUUACCAGUCUGCGACUGACGCUCAGGCACGAAAGUGUGGGUAUCGAACAGGAUUAGAUACCCCAGUAGUC
This 459-nucleotide ribosomal RNA is filed under the name uncultured bacterium. RNAcentral describes it as "partial 16S ribosomal RNA". It matches the Rfam family "Bacterial small subunit ribosomal RNA", at positions 338 to 795 of the family's 1533-position model. The record is from RNAcentral.